AUUGAUUUGAUUCUUCUCACAUGUAUGAGUAACACUACCUAGUCAAAUUUCGAGUGCUUUCAUUGGAGUGAACAUCCUUGAUGAGAAUUGAAGUUAAAGCUUGUUCUUAUUUCGUUAUUUAACUUUUGUGAAGCAUAAGUCGAGGUUAUAUUAAUAUUGGCUAUUUCACAUACGACACUCCAAGUUGUUCAAUUAAAGUUUGGUUAACCCCUUGAUAAUGUCUUGAGUUAAUGUUGCUUAUUUCUUGGAAGUUAGUUAACCGUUGGUGAUUAUCUCUGAGAUCAAUAUUGGGAAUUUAGUUGUUUGUUUGUUUUGAGUCGUUUUUUUGUUUUUAUUUUCCGUUUUAUUUUGCUCGAGGACUAGCAAAAUCUAAGUUGUGAGUAUUUGAUAAGUACAUAAAUAUCUCAUUUAUGUACUCUUUUUACUUAGGUUUUGUAGGAGAAUUAGAUUUAAAAAGGGCUUAUUACUUUAC
RNAcentral lists this long non-coding RNA (472 nucleotides) under Prunus persica (peach). RNAcentral's name for it is "long non-coding RNA (PPER_LNC006010)". The record is from RNAcentral. Lineage: Eukaryota; Viridiplantae; Streptophyta; Magnoliopsida; Rosales; Rosaceae.